This 804-nucleotide ribosomal RNA is filed under the name Triticum aestivum (bread wheat). RNAcentral describes it as "partial small subunit ribosomal RNA". The record is from RNAcentral. Lineage: Eukaryota; Viridiplantae; Streptophyta; Magnoliopsida; Poales; Poaceae.
AUGCCAAUGGAGGCGGCCAUGGGAGGCAAGCGGCUACGCCUCCAUGAUGCUGGGGCGGGGCAUCCGGUGUCGCCGCCCAGCAAGCGCCGCCGCGACGGUGGUGACCACGACUCCCGCGCAAGCAAGAAGCAGGCAGACAGGCGCUCCUCUUCCGCUUCUGCCGUCGCGCAACUUUCCUGCGCCAGGAUCAGGCCGUAUGUGCGUGCGUCGCGACCCAAGGAGGAGAAGACCGAGGUCAGCGCCGGCGACAAAGCCCAGGUCGUGAUUAAAAAGCAGAACGCUGACAAGCCCGUCUCUUGCAUGACCGGGAACAGGGCGGCGGUGCAGGCGCCCCUCCCCACAGAGCCGUCGAGCCAGGUCAGAGCCCGCGCUGUCGCAGACGACGUGAAGCAGAAGGCCGGCCAGGGAACUUCAUGCACCAGGACCAGGCCGGCGGUGCAGGCGUCGCGCCUGAACGGAGAGAUCAAGUUCAUCAGCAGCGGCGUCAGCGUUCUCCGCAACGGCGCGCACGGCGUGACCAAGAACGAGAAGCAGCAGGAGUCCGGCGAGCGGGCCCAAGCGAUCGCAACGGCAAGCAUCCCGCGGCAAGCUCGCCCGGCGCCGCCGUCGAUACCAAAGGAUCCCAUUGACCCGGACAAUGAGUUCCGCGCGGCCCUUGCGGCGGCUCGCCAAGCCAUAGUCAGGCGGCGGCGGGAGGAGGCUCGCCGAGAGAGGGACAAGGUGGUGCAGACCGUCUACUUCAACGACCCUAACAUGACUCUCGAGAACCUGCUCAAGGCCCAAGCCCUGAUUGGUUCAUGCUGA